Zea mays is the source of this 1563-nucleotide RNA transcript. It is a transcript of the gene named sucrose synthase pseudogene, with no coding region annotated. The record is from RefSeq and is marked validated. Lineage: Eukaryota; Viridiplantae; Streptophyta; Magnoliopsida; Poales; Poaceae.
AAAAGCAAUCAAAGCCUUAGAGGGCUUGAUGGAAGCAAAUAGGGACUUUGAAGAACUAAAAGUAUGUGUUCCAGUCUAUAUAAUGUUUAUUUUUCUUAGAUUUUCAUGUACGUACUUCUUUUGGGCACAAAUCAAACCAGCUCCUGAACUGCUAGAUGAGCUGUGCAUUGUGGUUCGUUAUAGCUGAAGCACAUUUCAUGAAUAAGGUUGAAGCCUUAUCGAGUGUAAACCAUAAAAAUCUUAUGAACCUUGUGGGUUAUUGUGAAGAUGAAAACCCUUCAUCUGGAUGAUGGUCUUCGAGUAUGUUUCAAAUGGAUCACUAUUCGAAGAAUUAGUGGAACACAACAUACUUACAUUUUACGAGUUCCCUUCAGAAAUGAAAACGGGAUACUUAAGAAAUGGAUAUCAAGAUUUGAUGUGUGGCCAUAUCUGGAAACAUUUGCUGAGCUUCUUUUAAUGAAAAAAAAUCUGAGGAAAGUACCUUAUGACUUCAUGGUACAAUGUAAAAUCUGUGAAUAGUUAGUUAGGAGACGAUAUUUGAUACCCCCUCAAUUUCAAAUUGUAAUUCAGUUUUUUUUUUCUAGAUUUGUAGUUUUACUAUGUAACUCAGUGAAAAUUAUAUACCUAGAAAGCAAGACAACUUACAACUUGUAAUGGAGAGAGUACAUAUUAAGAAAAGGUCCAACACUCAAAAGGUAAGAAUCCAAAUUAUUUCCAGUAGAGUUGCAUGAAAAAGCAACAUUUCUGCCUUUGCAAGUGUUGAUUUCUUAUAUGCAAAUUUUCUGUGUACCGGUUCUUUUUUACAUGACAUUUUCUACUUCAAUGGUCUUCCCCAUUUGACAAAAGCUGUAUUUUCCUUUUUUAUAUAGGAUGCUGCUGGUGAAAUUGCUACUGAAUUACAAGGUACUCCAGACUUCAUAAUUGGAAACUACAGUGAUGGAAAUCUUGUGGCAUCGUUGCUAUCUUACAAGAUGGGAAUUACCCAUUGCAACAUUGCUCAUGCUCUGGAAAAGACUAAGUAUCCAGAUUCAGACAUAUUUUGGAAGAAUUUUGAUGAGAAGUACCAUUUCUCCUGUCAGUUCACUACUGAUAUAAUUGCUAUGAACAAUGCUGAUUUUAUCAUCACCAGCACAUACCAAGAAAUUGCUGGAAGCAAAAAUAUUGUUGGACAGUAUGAGAGUCAUAUUGCCUUUACUCCGAGUUGUCCAUGGGAUCGAUGUCUUCGAUCCAAAGUUCAAUAUAGUCUCUCCUGGAGCUGACAUGUCCAUAUACUUUCCACAUACCGAGAAGGCCAAGCGACUCACCUCUCCAUGGUUCAAUCAAAAAUUUGAUUUAUGACCCGGAGCAAAACGAUGAACACAUUGGGCAUCUGGAUGACCGGUCAAAGCCCAUCCUCUUCUCCAUGGCAAGACUCGACAGGGUGAAGGACAUAACAAGGCUGGUCGAAGCUUUUGCUAAGUGCGCUAAGCUGAGGGAGCUGGUAAACCUUGUUGUCGUUGCCGGGUACAAUGAUGUCAAGAAGUCCAAGGACAGGGAAGAGAUCGCGGAGAUAGAGAAGAUGCA